ACGAAGUCGAGUGCAGGCCUAAAGGGCGAC
RNAcentral lists this small RNA (30 nucleotides) under Bombyx mori (domestic silkworm). RNAcentral describes it as "ovarian small RNA-11419". The record is from RNAcentral. Lineage: Eukaryota; Metazoa; Arthropoda; Insecta; Lepidoptera; Bombycidae.